Falco peregrinus (peregrine falcon) is the source of this 1717-nucleotide long non-coding RNA. RefSeq lists it as uncharacterized. The record is from RefSeq and is a predicted model, not a curated record. The transcript is spliced from 2 exons. Lineage: Eukaryota; Metazoa; Chordata; Aves; Falconiformes; Falconidae.
CAAAUGAGGAAGCUUGUGUGUAUGUCUAAGAAUAAUACUGGCAUCUACACGUACAUAUAGUAUGUGUAUUUGCAUCCACAAGAAAAACUCUGCAGUUGUGAAGGUAUUAGUAAUAUUUUUCCCACACUUUGUCAAAUAGACAUUAAUGGAAUUGGGGAAUGCAAAACACUUAAUCUCAUUCAAAUGCAAAUGUUUAAAACUGUUUCCAGUUGUAUCAGAAUAUGUGACCAUGAUUGAAAAAUUUUCAAAUUGCCAGAGUUAGCAACAACAAAUUAUUUCCAUUGUUUGGAAAUGAUCCUAAAAAUGCAAUAUAUACUUGUGAAAGAUCUCUAUGUGGAGCUCCACUGACUCAUGAGAUUUUACUCAUCUAAAGUAAAUAUUAGGAAUAAGGAUAUAAGGGCAUGGGGAAAACUUAAAAGUAGUCAGGCUUCUUCUGAAAUGUUACCACUAUUGCUGUUACAGUCAGUGUUGCACAGCACAUGACAAAACCUCAAAUUUUUAUAACUUAAGUACAUUAUUCCUUUGAAUAACCAGUGGCUAAUAACUAACUUGGAGGUUUUGUCACUUAGCUUUCUCCCCCUUCCAAUUAGAUCUAUUAACAUAAUUUAUUAUUCUAUUACUGUACUUCUAUUCUAACAAUAAAAUCUAUUAAUAAAAAUCUGUUGGAUUAUUAUUAGAAUUUAUUGCUACCAGAUACAGUUACUGCCAAAUCAUUUCUAAAUGUUUUGCUACCACGAAUGCACGUGCCAGUGUUGAUCAGGUUUCUUCAGUGGUUUUAAAUCACAGGCAUACCUGAUAUGAAAAACAGCUACUGCUCUUUUAAAUGAAAUAUUCAUAUUGAUUUGUUUUUUUGAAGUGAUGCCAAUUCAGCGUUUGCUGUAGUGGGAUCAGUAAAACUGUACUGGGAUACUGUCAAGUCAAGACAAGGUAGAUGCUUUGAUAGCAUGAAAAGAAAAGUGGUUUGUGUUUAUCUACCAAGGCACAUUUGGAAGUUAAGACCAAAUAAAUCAGUGUAGACAAGUACAAGCCUAAAGCGUAUCUUACUGUGUCAAAACCAUGGUCAUAAAAUGACAAACAUUAACACAAAGAUCUCUGGUGCAAAGUUGAAACAAUGUUGUGAUUAAUUAUAUUGCCAGCAAUACAAGGAAAUAAACAUUGACCAAGUGAGAGUAGUUUCUGAAGGCAGACAUCUCCAUCUUGACUUGUCUUAGAAAUGCCUGUAAAGGUACAAUUGAAGUGACACUUGAUUUUUUAUCAAACCGGUUUUCUUAAGUUAUCGGAGAGUGAAUGAAUAGGUGGGUAAUGGAGGUACUGAAUUUGCUGAAAAUUUCCACUAGAAUUUUUAGAUUGUUUUACUAUGAGUAAUUUCUGUUCUUUCUGCACAAUUCUUACUUCAAAGCUAAGCCAGUUCUAACUGAACUGCAGGAAAAGCCUUCAGAGUUUCUACAAGAAGAUGCAGCUACUUUUCAGAGUUCUCCCCAGUGCACAGCCACAAAACGGAUGGUGAUCUCUGUCUCCCAUAAAGAGCUCCUACCACAUGCUUGUCCUCACUCAGCAGCCUUGGCAGCGAUGGCCAUGGACAUCUGACUUCCCACCACAACUCCUCCAGAACCGCCUGUAUUCCUCGACACCACCUCCUGUGGUGGGAGCCGGCAUGUGCCACGCGCCUGUGCAGGGUGCGCGUGACCGGAGGGCGAGAAAAAGCUGGAACUCCAGG